CCUACGGGUGGCAGCAGUGAGGAAUAUUGGUCAAUGGGCGCGAGCCUGAACCAGCCAAGUAGCGUGAAGGAUGACUGCCCUACGGGUUGUAAACUUCUUUUAUAAAGGAAUAAAGUGAGGCACGUGUGCCUUUUUGUAUGUACUUUAUGAAUAAGGAUCGGCUAACUCCGUGCCAGCAGCCGCGGUAAUACGGAGGUUCCGAGCGUUAUCCGGAUUUAUUGGGUUUAAAGGGAGCGUAGAUGGGUUGUUAAGUCAGUUGUGAAAUUUUGCGGCUCAACCGUAAAAUUGAAAUUGAUACUGGGAGUCGUGAGGAAAGUUGAGGUAGGCGGAAUGCGUGGGGUAGCGGUGAAAUG
RNAcentral lists this ribosomal RNA (353 nucleotides) under uncultured bacterium. Its description in RNAcentral is "partial 16S ribosomal RNA". It matches the Rfam family "Bacterial small subunit ribosomal RNA", at positions 338 to 688 of the family's 1533-position model. The record is from RNAcentral.